CCAGACUCCUACGGGAGGCAGCAGUAAGGGAUAUUGGUCAAUGGGGGAAACCCUGAACCAGCAACGCCGCGUGAGGGAAGACGGUUUUCGGAUUGUAAACCUCUGUCCUCUGUGAAGAUGAUGACGGUAGCAGAGGAGGAAGCUCCGGCUAACUACGUGCCAGCAGCCGCGGUAAUACGUAGGGAGCGAGCGUUGUCCGGAUUUACUGGGUGUAAAGGGCGUGUAGGCGGGACUGCAAGUCAGAUGUGAAACCCAUGGGCUCAACCCAUGGCCUGCAUUUGAAACUGUAGUUCUUGAGUGAUGGAGAGGCAGGCGGAAUUCCGUGUGUAGCGGUGAAAUGCGUAGAUAUACGGAGGAACACCAGUGGCGAAGGCGGCCUGCUGGACAUUAACUGACGCUGAGGCGCGAAAGCGUGGGUAGCAAACAGGAUUAGAUACCCGUGUAAAG
RNAcentral lists this ribosomal RNA (447 nucleotides) under uncultured bacterium. RNAcentral's name for it is "partial 16S ribosomal RNA". It matches the Rfam family "Bacterial small subunit ribosomal RNA", at positions 331 to 793 of the family's 1533-position model. The record is from RNAcentral.